Molecule: transfer RNA, 72 nt
Filed under: Bullanga florida
Lineage: Eukaryota; Metazoa; Arthropoda; Insecta; Neuroptera; Myrmeleontidae
Description: tRNA-Val
Rfam family: tRNA
About the family: Transfer RNA (tRNA) molecules are approximately 80 nucleotides in length. Their secondary structure includes four short double-helical elements and three loops (D, anti-codon, and T loops).
Source: RNAcentral
CAAAUUGAAGCUUUUUUAGUUAAGCAUUUCAUUUACACUGAAAAGAAUAUCGUGCAACCCGAUUUAAUUUGA